Molecule: ribosomal RNA, 325 nt
Filed under: uncultured eukaryote
Lineage: Eukaryota
Description: partial 18S ribosomal RNA
Rfam family: Eukaryotic small subunit ribosomal RNA
Source: RNAcentral
CCCUUAGAUGUUCUGGGCUGCACGCGCGCUACACUGAAGCGUUCAACGAGUAUUCACCUUGCCCGGGAGGGUUGGGUAAUCUUUUGAAAACGCUUCGUGAUGGGGAUAGAUUAUUGCAAUUAUUAAUCUUCAACGAGGAAUUCCUAGUAAGCGCGAGUCAUCAGCUCGUGCUGAUUACGUCCCUGCCCUUUGUACACACCGCCCGUCACUCCUACCGAUUGAGUGAUCCGGUGAAUAAUUCGGACUGCAGCACUGCUUGGUCUCCAGGCUUUGCAGCGGAAAGUUUAGUGAACCUUAUCACUUAGAGGAAGGAGAANUCGUANCA